RNAcentral lists this non-coding RNA (175 nucleotides) under Fimbriimonas ginsengisoli. The record is from RNAcentral. Lineage: Bacteria; Bacillati; Armatimonadota; Fimbriimonadia; Fimbriimonadales; Fimbriimonadaceae.
CUCUCUUUGGACUCGCGAGGGCCGUUCUGAAGAGAUCGGUCUGAGCCGGGGGAAGUCCGGUGAGAAUCCGGCACUGUGCCGCAAUGGUGUUUCCGGCGGUCGACGAUUUGGAGCAUGUUUCCAAAUUUCGGCCAGUCGGAAGAGUCCAACUACCCGCCUCGCGAGAGGACAUCGU